Zingiber officinale is the source of this 2452-nucleotide RNA transcript. It is a transcript of the gene named pto-interacting protein 1-like, with no coding region annotated. The transcript has 9 exons. Lineage: Eukaryota; Viridiplantae; Streptophyta; Magnoliopsida; Zingiberales; Zingiberaceae. The record is from RefSeq and is a predicted model, not a curated record.
CGGUAGGUGAGCUCACCUGCGGUUACUCCAACGCGCCUUAAAUCGACGGCAAUUUCAGCAAGGCCGAACACUCUCAGAUUUCGCCUUCCUUCCGGCUUUCCUGCGCGCUUGACUUUCCAGUUUCCAAGAUCGGAGCCCCGUUCUACUCUGGGUUUUCUUAGUUACAACUUACAAGUCUGGUAGCAUCAUCGCAAGCGCUCUUAAAAAACACAAAAUGUCGUGCUUUGGAUGUUGCGAAGAGAAUGAUAAUAAUCGAACUGCUGCCAGUGGUGGUCCUUAUGUUGCAAGCCAUUCCGCUGGAAAUGAUGGAGCCUAUCUUUCUGCCAAUACUCCUUCUAAGGGUGCCCAAACUGUUAAACCGCAACCUAUUGCAGUCCCAGCUAUUCCUGUUGACGAGAUAAGGGAGAUCACAAAAAAUUUUGGUGAUGAAGCUUUGAUUGGGGAGGGUUCAUUUGGUAGAGUGUAUUUUGGUGUCCUAAAGAAUGAGAGAAGCACAGCUGUAAAAAAAUUAGAUUCAAGCAAGCAGCCAGACCAAGAGUUUUUGGCACAGGUUUCCAUGGUGUCACGGCUGAAGCAUGAGAAUGUCGUGGAGUUGGUUGGUUACAGUGUUGAAGGAAAUCUCCGUCUGUUAGCAUAUGAGUUUGCUACAAUGGGGUCUCUCCAUGACAUUCUUCAUGGACGAAAAGGAGUUAAAGGAGCACAACCAGGACCAGUGUUGUCAUGGCUCCAAAGAGUUAAAAUUGCUGUCGGAGCAGCAAAAGGAUUGGAAUACCUGCAUGAGAAAGCCCAGCCUCAUAUCAUUCAUCGUGAUAUAAAGUCAAGUAAUGUUUUACUCUUUGAUGAUGAUGUUGCAAAAAUAGCUGAUUUUGACCUAUCAAAUCAAGCUCCUGACAUGGCUGCUAGACUUCAUUCUACCAGAGUUCUGGGAACUUUUGGAUAUCAUGCACCAGAGUAUGCAAUGACUGGUCAACUUAGCUCUAAAAGUGACGUGUACAGUUUUGGUGUUGUUCUAUUAGAGCUCUUGACUGGUCGUAAACCUGUGGAUCAUACAUUACCGAGAGGACAACAAAGUCUUGUCACUUGGGCAACACCAAGGCUCAGCGAAGACAAAGUAAGGCAAUGCAUUGACUCAAGGCUAAAUGGAGAGUAUCCACCCAAAGCAGUUGCCAAGUUUGCUGCGGUGGCUGCAUUGUGCGUGCAAUACGAAGCUGAUUUUCGGCCAAACAUGAGCAUUGUCGUUAAAGCUUUACAACCGCUGCUGAAUACUCGGUCUGGCCACCCCGGUGAAGGCCCCGGAAUGUGAACCCUGAUAUGAUUCAUUGGCUCAGAUUAUGUGUGCAGAGUUAAGUGCAGUCCUAACCUGUAGAUUAUAUAUAUCACCAUUGGUUUCAAAUGAUCAAUUAUUUCAAACCUCUGCCCUCUAGCUUUGAAUAUCCUUUGAAUUCAAACGUGCACCUCUAAGUUUGAUCUCGAUUUGCCACAAUAUGGGAAGGAUUGUUUCACAACUUGUAUCUUGCUUUCUUUGUUCUGAAUGCAUUUGUAAAAUGCGAUUCGAUUUUGAAGAGAUUAGGAAUUGGUGGAUAACAAACUCAUGGAUUUCUUCAUUCCAAAUGUUAAUCGCAACAGACAAAAAUAUAAUUCGUAAGGCACCAUGCUACUACUCUUAUUAACGGUACAAUUUAAUGUUAAUCCCAAACGUGUAAAUAUGAGUACUAUGCAUAUUUUCAACUUUUACCAUUUAAACGACUACAAAACACACAUUCCUAAAACAAUCUUAAAUCUAUCACUCGCAAGAUAACAACUUUGAAAAAACAAAAAAUGAACACAGGCAAAGUAGAUGCCCUCUAAAGUCUAAUCAACAUAUCAUUAAAAUGAAAUUAAUAUAUGUUGAGCAUCAUCUGAACUUUAGUUGUCCCUCCUAUCAUUUAUCUGCUUGUCUCUUGUUCCUUUGGAUUUAGAAUCAGGAUUGGGAUUUAUCAAAAUCUUCCAGUUUUGUUUCAGUAUCUCCUUUCGCAACUUGAUUGCGCAGUCUUUGGUCCUGUAAAAUGAAUUUGUUAGAUAUGAAGUAUCUACAACGGCAUGCACAGUCCAAGAUCACAAAGGUUCCAGCAUUUGAACAACCUGCCCCAUUGUUGGUCUCUUCUCUGAAUCAAGUUCAACACACCUCAAUGCUACUAAAAGGGCUUUUUUCAGAGCCUUAGAAGUUGGCCUAGUCACUAUGGUUGGAUCUCCCACUUCUUCAGAACGGCGGUUGGCAAUCAUCCAUUUAAGCCAGUCAACAAGAUGUACCUGCAAUCAUAACAGGAAAAUAUAUUAGUCAGAUGUGGAAGGUUCACGAAUUUGCUGAACUAACAUUUUUUUUUUUUUUGCAUAAAAUACAUAGCAACUCAUAUUAUGUUCAACUCUUUCGCAAUUAUCAUAUCAAUACAGGCGACAGAUAUUAACAAUCAAA